This 414-nucleotide ribosomal RNA is filed under the name uncultured bacterium. Its description in RNAcentral is "bacterial SSU rRNA". It matches the Rfam family "Bacterial small subunit ribosomal RNA", at positions 77 to 518 of the family's 1533-position model. The record is from RNAcentral.
GCUGAAGUGUCAUAUAGUAGCGGGACGGGUGAGUAAUGCAUGAGAAGCUGCCAGUUGGGGAGGGGACAACAGGUUAGGAACGGCUGCUAAUACCCCCGUAUGCCGGAAGGUGAAAGGGAGCGAUCCGCCCGAUGAGGUGCUCAUGUCCUAUCAGCUGGUUGGUGGGGUAACGGCCUACCAAGGCGACGACGGGUAGCCGGCCUGAGAGGGUGAACGGCCACACUGGAACUGAGAUACGGUCCAGACUCCUACGGGAGGCAGCAGUGGGGAAUAUUGGGCAAAUGGGGGCAACCCUGACCCAGCGACGCCGCGUGAGGGAAGACGGCCUUCGGGUUGUAAACCUCUUUUGUACGGGAAGAAGGAAGUGACGGUACUGUACGAAUAAGUCCCGGCUAACUACGUGCCAGCCGCCGC